Molecule: long non-coding RNA, 1089 nt
Filed under: Taeniopygia guttata (zebra finch)
Lineage: Eukaryota; Metazoa; Chordata; Aves; Passeriformes; Estrildidae
Description: lncRNA (ENSTGUG00000023645.1)
Source: RNAcentral
AUGAGGAGUGGCUUUAUAUCCACGCUCUGUACAUGGGACAGUUUCUGUUAUUUCUCCAGCAUCUAUAAUAUAAGUGCUGUCAGGAUAGCAUCAUCAAACAUUCACUUAACACAGGGUGGUCAGAUCCAUAGUCCUGGCAGUGACAGCACCUUUCCGAGAGGGUCUGAACUUGCUCAGGCAGAGGUGGGGCUCGUAGAGCUCCCUCACCCUGGGCAAGUGUGGUCUUCCCAAGCAAGGUCUGAGGAUCUUCCUUGUGGUGGGGCAGAGGGAUGCCUGGCUGCAUCAUCAGCUCUCGCUGAGCGCUAUGGAGGGAUGCACCUGUCAGGCAAGGCGGGACAGUCCGGGGCACCUACAGAAGAGCAGCUCAGAGAAACCCAAGUGACGCUUGAAGGAGCCUCCUGGGACCAGGGGACCUGCUCUGCGGCAACCCCCGCCCGCUGUCCUUCUCCCAGAGCUGCAGCUGCGGCUGCUUUAACCGGGCCGGGGGGGUCUUGGCAGCCCCGCCGACGUGGCGGGCAUCAGCUGACCGCGCCGGGCUCUGCCUCCUCCCGGGCCGCCCGCCCGCAGCUCCACUCCGGCGGCGGCGGCGGCGGCAGCAGCGGCGGCUCCGCCGUGCUCGUCCCGCGGCUCCCGGGACAGCAUCCGCCGCCAGCUCCCCGCAGCGCCUCAGGAACCGCGCUCCCUGCGCUUUGCCCUUGCCCCUUCCUGCUGCUGCUCCUCCUCCUCCUCCCUGCCGCCGGGGAAGCCCCUGAGCCGGAGCACUGCCUGCCCCGGCCCGCGGAGAAGUUGGGAUAUUCCCAUCUGGCUGCCCAGAGCUCCGAGUUUAGGGCGGGAUUUUCAUUCCCCGCUCUUUCGAUUUUUUUAGAUUUGGGUUUUGAUGUGAUUUUUUUCCCCUCCUCCUUUCUUUCUUUUUUUCCCUCCCUUUUUUUUCCCUCCCUUAUUUUUCCCGUUGCCAAGCAAGCCGAGUGUCUGCGAUGGAUGGGAGCCCCGAGUCCCCCCCGGGCAGAGACGCUCCGUGAGCCAGGGGCAUGCCCCGCCGCCGGGGGAAAGCGGGCGGGCAGCCCCCGGCCGGCGGCUCCUGCGCCGUGA